ACUUGUCUUUUAAAUGAAGACCUGUAUGAAUGGCAUANNNNGGGCUUAACUGUCUCCUCUUUCCAGUCAAUGAAGUUGAUCUCCCCGUGCAGAAGCGGGGAUACAAACAUAAGACGAGAAGACCCUAUGAAGCUUUAGACACCAAGGCAGAUCGUGUUAAUAUCCCCAAACACGGGGCUUAAACUAAAUGAAACCUGCCCGAAUGUCUUUGGUUGGGGCGACCGCGGGGCAUUGAAAAACCCCCACGUGGAAUGGGAGCACCCCUCCUACAACUGAGACUACAGCUCUAGUAAACAGAAUUUCUGACCAACAAGAUCCGGCAAUGCCGAUCAACGGACCGANNNACCCUAGGGAUAACAGCGCAAUCCUCUUUUAGAGCCCA
This 382-nucleotide ribosomal RNA is filed under the name Austrolycus depressiceps. Its description in RNAcentral is "partial 16S ribosomal RNA". It matches the Rfam family "Bacterial large subunit ribosomal RNA", at positions 1967 to 2502 of the family's 2925-position model. The record is from RNAcentral. Lineage: Eukaryota; Metazoa; Chordata; Actinopteri; Perciformes; Zoarcidae.